UACGGAGGGGGCUAGCGUUGUUCGGAAUUACUGGGCGUAAAGCGCACGUAGGCGGCUUUGUAAGUUAGAGGUGAAAGCCCGGGGCUCAACUCCGGAAUUGCCUUUAAGACUGCAUCGCUAGAAUUGUGGAGAGGUAAGUGGAAUUCCGAGUGUAGAGGUGAAAUUCGUAGAUAUCUGGAGGAACACCGGUGGCGAAGGCGGCAUCCUGGACCGACAUUGACGCUGAGGCGCGAAAGCCAGGGGAGCAAACGGG
Molecule: ribosomal RNA, 253 nt
Filed under: uncultured bacterium
Lineage: Bacteria
Description: partial 16S ribosomal RNA
Rfam family: Bacterial small subunit ribosomal RNA
Source: RNAcentral